UACGGAGGGAGCUAGCGUUGUUCGGAAUUACUGGGCGUAAAGCGUGCGUAGGCGGUUACUCAAGUCAGAGGUGAAAGCCCGGGGCUCAACCCCGGAACUGCCUUUGAAACUAGGUAGCUAGAAUCUUGGAGAGGUCAGUGGAAUUCCGAGUGUAGAGGUGAAAUUCGUAGAUAUCGGGAGGAACACCAGUGGCGAAGGCGGCGACCUGGGCCAAUAUUGACGCUGAGGUGCGAAAGCGUGGGGAGCAAACAGG
This 253-nucleotide ribosomal RNA is filed under the name uncultured bacterium. Its description in RNAcentral is "partial 16S ribosomal RNA". It matches the Rfam family "Bacterial small subunit ribosomal RNA", at positions 524 to 776 of the family's 1533-position model. The record is from RNAcentral.